This 495-nucleotide ribosomal RNA is filed under the name uncultured bacterium. RNAcentral describes it as "partial 16S ribosomal RNA". It matches the Rfam family "Bacterial small subunit ribosomal RNA", at positions 28 to 507 of the family's 1533-position model. The record is from RNAcentral.
GACGAACGCUGGCGGCGUGCCUAAUACAUGCAAGUAGAACGCUGAAGGAGGAGCUUGCUUCUCUGGAUGAGUUGCGAACGGGUGAGUAACGCGUAGGUAACCUGCCUGGUAGCGGGGGAUAACUAUUGGAAACGAUAGCUAAUACCGCAUAAGAGUAGAUGUUGCAUGACAUUUGCUUAAAAGGUGCAAUUGCAUCACUACCAGAUGGACCUGCGUUGUAUUAGCUAGUUGGUGGGGUAACGGCUCACCAAGGCGACGAUACAUAGCCGACCUGAGAGGGUGAUCGGCCACACUGGGACUGAGACACGGCCCAGACGCCUACGGGAGGCAGCAGUAGGGAAUCUUCGGCAAUGGACGGAAGUCUGACCGAGCUACGCCGCGUGAGUGAAGAAGGUUUUCGGAUCGUAAAGCUCUGUUGUAAGAGAAGAACGAGUGUGAGAGUGGAAAGUUCACACUGUGACGGUAUCUUACCAGAAAGGGACGGCUAACUACGUG